RNAcentral lists this ribosomal RNA (168 nucleotides) under Limnias ceratophylli. RNAcentral describes it as "5.8S ribosomal RNA". It matches the Rfam family "5.8S ribosomal RNA". Rfam says of the family: 5.8S ribosomal RNA (5.8S rRNA) is a component of the large subunit of the eukaryotic ribosome. It is transcribed by RNA polymerase I as part of the 45S precursor that also contains 18S and 28S rRNA. Lineage: Eukaryota; Metazoa; Rotifera; Eurotatoria; Flosculariaceae; Flosculariidae. The record is from RNAcentral. RNAcentral also lists the same sequence under 1 other name.
ACAACCCUAUGCGGUGGAUCACUAGGCUCGCGAGUCGAUGAAGAGCGCAGCAAAGUGCGUGAAUUAAUGUGAUUUGCAGGACACAUUGAUCAUCGAUAUCUUGAACGCAUAUUGCGGUUACGGUUCGCUUCCGUGACCACGCCUGUCUGAGGGUCGGUUUACAUAUGU